Molecule: ribosomal RNA, 499 nt
Filed under: uncultured bacterium
Lineage: Bacteria
Description: partial 16S ribosomal RNA
Rfam family: Bacterial small subunit ribosomal RNA
Source: RNAcentral
AUUGAACGCUGGCGGAAUGCUUUACACAUGCAAGUCGAACGGCAGCACGGACUUCGGUCUGGUGGCGAGUGGCGAACGGGUGAGUAAUGUAUCGGAACGUGCCCAGUCGUGGGGGAUAACGUAGUGAACAUUACGCUAAUACCGCAUACGAUCUAUGGAUGAAAGCGGGGGAUCGCAAGACCUCGCUCGGUUGGGGCGGCCGAUAUCAGAUUAGGUAGUUGGUGGGGUAAGGCCCACCAAGCCAACGAUCUGUAGCUGGUCUGAGAGGACGACCAGCCACACUGGAACUGAGACACGGUCCAGACUCCUACGGGAGGCAGCAGUGGGGAAUUUUGGACAAUGGGCGAAAGCCUGAUCCAGCCAUUCCGCGUGCAGGAUGAAGGCCCUCGGGUUGUAAACUGCUUUUGUACUGAACGAAAAGGUUUCUACUAAUACUAGGAGCUCAUGACGGUACUGUAAGAAUAAGCACCGGCUAACUACGUGCCAGCCGCCGCCGUAA